Molecule: ribosomal RNA, 481 nt
Filed under: uncultured bacterium
Lineage: Bacteria
Description: partial 16S ribosomal RNA
Rfam family: Bacterial small subunit ribosomal RNA
Source: RNAcentral
GAUGAACGCUGGCGGCGUGCUUAACACAUGCAAGUCGAACGAAGCAUUUAGAACAGAUUACUUCGGUUUGAAGUUCUUUAUGACUGAGUGGCGGACGGGUGAGUAACGCGUGGGUAACCUGCCUUGUACUGGGGGAUAGCAGCUGGAAACGGCUGGUAAUACCGCAUAAGCGCACAAUGUUGCAUGACAUGGUGUGAAAAACUCCGGAGGUAUAAGAUGGACCCGCGUCUGAUUAGCUAGUUGGUGAGAUAACAGCCCACCAAGGCGACGAUCAGUAGCCGACCUGAGAGGGUGACCGGCCACAUUGGGACUGAGACACGGCCCAGACUCCUACGGGAGGCAGCAGUGGGGAAUAUUGCACAAUGGAGGAAACUCUGAUGCAGCGACGCCGCGUGAGUGAAGAAGUAAUUCGUUAUGUAAAGCUCUAUCAGCAGGGAAGAUAGUGAUGGUACCUGACUAAGAAGCGCCGGCUAAAUACGUG